CCGGACCUGACUGCUAUCGGAUUGGUACUAAGCCAUGCGAGUCAUUGUAGCAAUACAAGGCGGACGGCUCAGUAACACGUAGUCAACCUAACUCGUGGACGUGGAUAACCUCGGGAAACUGAGAAUAAACCACGAUAGAUCAUAGUGCCUGGAAUGGCUUAUGGUCCAAACAGUUUACUGCCAUGGGAUGGGACUGCGGCCUAUCAGCUUGUUGGUGAGGUAAUGGCCCACCAAGGCGAUUACAGGUACGGGCUCUGAGAGGAGAAGCCCGGAGAUGGGUACUGAGACACGGACCCAGGCCCUAUGGGGCGCAGCAGGCGAGAAACCUUAGCAAUGUGCGAAAGCACGACUGGGUCAGUCCGAGUGAUUCCUGAUAAAGGAGUCUUUUGCCUGUCCUAAAAACACAGGUGAAUAAGGGGUGGGCAAGUCUGGUGUCAGCCGCCGCGGUAAUACCAGCACCUCGAGUGGUCAGGACGUUUAUUGGGCCUAAAGCAUCCGUAGCCGGCUUUGCAAGUCUCCGGUUAAAUCCACCUGCUCAACAGAUGGGCCGCUGGAGAUACUACAGAGAUAGGGAGUGGGAGAGGCAGACGGUAUUCAGUGGGUAGGGGUAAAAUCCUCUGAUCCAUUGAGGACCACCAGUGGCGAAGGCGGUCUGCCAGAACACGUUCGACGGUGAGGGAUGAAAGCUGGGGGAGCAAACCGGAUUAGAUACCCGGGUAGUCCCAGCUGUAAACGAUGCAAACUCGGUGAUGCAUUGGCUUAUGGCCAAUGCAGUGCCGCAGGAAGCCGUUAAGUUUGCCGCCUGGAAGUACGACGCAAGUCUGANCUUAAAGGAAUUG
RNAcentral lists this ribosomal RNA (839 nucleotides) under uncultured archaeon. Its description in RNAcentral is "bacterial SSU rRNA". It matches the Rfam family "Archaeal small subunit ribosomal RNA", at positions 17 to 867 of the family's 1478-position model. The record is from RNAcentral.